GGGCCCGCACAAGCGGUGGAGCAUGUGGUUUAAUUCGAUGAUACGCGAGGAACCUUACCAGGGCUUAAAUGUAGAACGACCGAUUUGGAAACAAGUCUUCUCUUUGAGCGGUCUACAAGGUGCUGCAUGGUUGUCGUCAGCUCGUGCCGUGAGGUGUCGGGUUAAGUCCCUUAACGAGCGCAACCCCUAUCUCUAGUUGCCAGCGGAUAAUGCCGGGGACUCUAGAGAAACUGCCCGUGCAAACGGUGAGGAAGGUGGGGAUGACGUCAAAUCAUCACGGCCCUUACGUCCUGGGCUACACACGUGCUACAAUGGUCGGUACAGAGGGCAGCUACCACGUGAGUGGAUGCAAAUCUCGAAAGCCGAUCUCAGUUCGGAUUGGAGUCUGCAACUCGACUCCAUGAAGCUGGAAUCGCUAGUAAUCG
RNAcentral lists this ribosomal RNA (425 nucleotides) under uncultured bacterium. RNAcentral's name for it is "bacterial SSU rRNA". It matches the Rfam family "Bacterial small subunit ribosomal RNA", at positions 917 to 1344 of the family's 1533-position model. The record is from RNAcentral.